AAAGCAGUUGAAUCUUAUCUUACAAAGUUUAUAGUGUGAGAAUACUGAGGGCCCAGUUGCUCAGUUGACCAAUUAAGUUUCUUUCUCUUUUCUCACCCUACCCAACUGCCGGCAGGCAAUUAAUGAGGAAUGACCUGGUCAAAAGACAAGAAGAGGACUUUGAGGAGAGGCAAAGUCCUGGAUAAAGAAAACUACAGGGAGUUCCCAUCAUCACUCAGAGGAUCCCAACAUUCUAGAACUUCUGUUUGGACCAAGUAAUUUACCAUGAGCGGAUUCAUCCUAACAUAUGGCUAUUCAAGUGUAAGAGAGUGUAAUAAGAGG
RNAcentral lists this long non-coding RNA (321 nucleotides) under Sus scrofa (pig). RNAcentral's name for it is "lncRNA (ENSSSCG00070009107.1)". The record is from RNAcentral. Lineage: Eukaryota; Metazoa; Chordata; Mammalia; Artiodactyla; Suidae.